RNAcentral lists this ribosomal RNA (497 nucleotides) under uncultured bacterium. RNAcentral describes it as "partial 16S ribosomal RNA". It matches the Rfam family "Bacterial small subunit ribosomal RNA", at positions 28 to 507 of the family's 1533-position model. The record is from RNAcentral.
GAUGAACGCUGGCGGCGUGCCUAAUACAUGCAAGUCGAGCGAACGGACGAGAAGCUUGCUUCUCUGAUGUUAGCGGCGGACGGGUGAGUAACACGUGGAUAACCUACCUAUAAGACUGGGAUAACUUCGGGAAACCGUAGCUAAUACCGGAUAAUAUUUUGAACCGCAUGGUUCAAAAGUGAAAGACGGUCUUGCUGUCACUUAUAGAUGGAUCCGCGCUGCAUUAGCUAGUUGGUAAGGUAACGGCUUACCAAGGCAUCGAUGCAUAGCCGACCUGAGAGGGUGAUCGGCCACACUGGAACUGAGACACGGUCCAGACUCCUACGGGAGGCAGCAGUAGGGAAUCUUCCGCAAUGGGCGAAAGCCUGACGGAGCAACGCCGCGUGAGUGAUGAAGGUCCUCGGAUCGUAAAACUCUGUUAUUAGGGAAGAACAUAUGUGUAAGUAACUGUGCACAUCUUGACGGUACCUAAUCAGAAAGCCACGGCUAACUACGUG